CGAGGCAGCAGUGGGGAAUAUUGGACAAUGGGCGAAAGCCUGAUCCAGCCAUGCCGCGUGAUAGAUGAAGGCCCUCUGGGUUGUAAAUAUCUUUUAUCUGGGAAGAAACUCCUCUAUUCUUAGAGGCCUGACGGUACCAGAGGAAUAAGCACCGGCUAACUCCGUGCCAGCAGCCGCGGUAAUACGGAGGGUGCAAGCGUUAUCCGGAUUCACUGGGUUUAAAGGGUGCGUAGGCGGGUUGAUAAGUCAGUGGUGAAAGCUCCGGGCUUAACUUGGAAACUGCCAUUGAUACUGUCCAUCUUGAAUGUCGUAGAGGUAAGCGGAAUGUUGCAUGUAGCGGUGAAAUGCUUAGAUAUGUUACAGAACACCAAUUGCGAAGGCAGCUUACUAUGCGAUAAUUGACGCUGAGGCACGAAAGCGUGGGGAGCAAACAGGAUUAGAAACCCCUGUAGUCCG
Molecule: ribosomal RNA, 456 nt
Filed under: uncultured bacterium
Lineage: Bacteria
Description: bacterial SSU rRNA
Rfam family: Bacterial small subunit ribosomal RNA
Source: RNAcentral